CCUACGGGAGGCUGCAGUGAGGAAUAUUGGUCAAUGGACGAAAGUCUGAACCAGCCAAGUAGCGUGAAGGAUGAAGGCUCUAUGGAUUGUAAACUUCUUUUAUAUGGGAAUAAAAUGUGGCACGUGUGGGAUUUUGUAUGUACCAUAUGAAUAAGGAUCGGCUAACUCCGUGCCAGCAGCCGCGGUAAUACGGAGGAUCCGAGCGUUAUCCGGAUUUAUUGGGUUUAAAGGGUGCGUAGGUGGAUUGUUAAGUCAGUGGUGAAAGUUUGUGGCUCAACCUUAAAAUUGCAGUUGAAACUGGGAGGCUUGAGUAUAGUAGAGGUGGGCGGAAUUCGUGGUGUAGCGGUGAAAUGCUUAGAUAGCACGAAGAACUCCGAUUGCGAAGGCAGCUCACUAGACUGCAACUGACACUGAGGCUCGAAAGUGUGGGGAUCAAACAGGAUUAGAUACCCGUGUAGUC
This 460-nucleotide ribosomal RNA is filed under the name uncultured bacterium. RNAcentral's name for it is "partial 16S ribosomal RNA". It matches the Rfam family "Bacterial small subunit ribosomal RNA", at positions 338 to 795 of the family's 1533-position model. The record is from RNAcentral.